CAAUAGCGUAUACUAAAGUUGUUGCGAUUAAAAAGCUCGUAGUUGGAUCUCGGGUGCGGGCGCGCGGUCUAGCCAUCGGCUCAGCACUGCGUUGUUACACUUGUUGUAAGCCCGUCCUACGCUUCCCGGUCACGGACGGUGCCCUUGAYUGUGGCGUCAUCCUAGCCGGAACGUUUACUUUGAAGAAAUUAGAGUGUUCAAAGCAGGCCAUGGCCCGCAUACAUUGCAUGGAAUAAUGGAAUAGGACCUCGGUUCUAUUUUGCUGGUUUUCGGAACACGAGGUAAUGAUUAAUAGGAACGGACGGGGGCAUCCGUACUGUGGUGUUAGAGGUGAAAUUCUUGGAUCAUUGCAAGACGAACGACUGCGAAAGCACUUGCCAAGCAUGUUUUCAUUAGUCAAGAACGAAAGUCAGAGGUUCGAAGACGAUCAGAUACCGUCGUAGUUCUGACCAUAAACGAUGCCAACUAGCGAUUCGAGGGUGUUGCUUCAUCGACCCCUCGGGCAGCUUCCGGGAAACCAAAGUGUUUGGGUUUCGGGGGAAGUAUGGUUGCAAAGCUGAAACUUAAAGGAAUUGACGGAAGG
This 583-nucleotide ribosomal RNA is filed under the name Peringia ulvae. Its description in RNAcentral is "SSU rRNA". It matches the Rfam family "Eukaryotic small subunit ribosomal RNA", at positions 594 to 1174 of the family's 1831-position model. Lineage: Eukaryota; Metazoa; Mollusca; Gastropoda; Littorinimorpha; Hydrobiidae. The record is from RNAcentral.